This 253-nucleotide ribosomal RNA is filed under the name uncultured bacterium. Its description in RNAcentral is "partial 16S ribosomal RNA". It matches the Rfam family "Bacterial small subunit ribosomal RNA", at positions 524 to 776 of the family's 1533-position model. The record is from RNAcentral.
UACGUAGGUGGCUAGCGUUGUCCGGAUUUACUGGGCGUAAAGAGCUCGCAGGCGGUCGGUCAAGUCGAGUGUGAAAGCCCCCGGCUCAACUGGGGAGGGUCAUUCGAUACUGAUCGACUCGAAGGCAGGAGAGGGAAGCGGAAUUCCCGGUGUAGUGGUGAAAUGCGUAGAUAUCAGGAGGAACACCGGUGGCGAAGGCGGGUCUCUGGGCCGAUACUGACGCUGAGGAGCGAAAGCUAGGGUAGCAAACGGG